Molecule: non-coding RNA, 30 nt
Filed under: Rattus norvegicus (Norway rat)
Lineage: Eukaryota; Metazoa; Chordata; Mammalia; Rodentia; Muridae
Source: RNAcentral
UAACAGGCCCUGAGGACCCUGAGUGUCAGA